GAUGAACGCUGGCGGCGUGCCUAAUACAUGCAAGUCGAGCGAACAGAUAAGGAGCUUGCUCCUUUGACGUUAGCGGCGGACGGGUGAGUAACACGUGGGUAACCUACCUAUAAGACUGGGAUAACUUCGGGAAACCGGAGCUAAUACCGGAUAACAUUUGGAACCGCAUGGUUCUAAAAGUGAAAGAUGGUUUUAGCUAUCACUUAUAGAUGGACCCGCGCCGUAUUAGCUAGUGUAAGUAACGGCUUACCAAGGCAACGAUACGUAGCCGACCUGAGAGGUGAUCGGCCACACUGGAACUGAGACACGGCCCAGACUCCUACGGAGGCAGCAGUAGGGAAUCUUCGCAAUGGGCGAAAGCCUGACGGAGCAACGCCGCGUGAGUGAUGAAGGGUUUC
RNAcentral lists this ribosomal RNA (398 nucleotides) under uncultured bacterium. RNAcentral describes it as "bacterial SSU rRNA". It matches the Rfam family "Bacterial small subunit ribosomal RNA", at positions 28 to 419 of the family's 1533-position model. The record is from RNAcentral.